RNAcentral lists this microRNA (22 nucleotides) under Echinococcus granulosus. RNAcentral's name for it is "egr-miR-10227e-5p". Lineage: Eukaryota; Metazoa; Platyhelminthes; Cestoda; Cyclophyllidea; Taeniidae. The record is from miRBase by way of RNAcentral.
UGGCGCUUGGUUAUUCUACUGA